RNAcentral lists this transfer RNA (70 nucleotides) under Desmaulus extinctorium. RNAcentral's name for it is "tRNA-Arg". The record is from RNAcentral. Lineage: Eukaryota; Metazoa; Mollusca; Gastropoda; Littorinimorpha; Calyptraeidae.
GUAUGAAAAGCGAAUAAUGUUGCAUAUGGUUUCGGCCCGUAUUUUAGAGGUUUGAGUCCUCUUUCAUAUU